GACGAACGCUGGCGGCGUGCUUAACACAUGCAAGUCGAACGGAAAGGCCCUGCUUUUGUGGGGUGCUCGAGUGGCGAACGGGUGAGUAACACGUGAGUAACCUGCCCUUGACUUUGGGAUAACUUCAGGAAACUGGGGCUAAUACCGGAUAGGAGCUCCUGCUGCAUGGUGGGGGUUGGAAAGUUUCGGCGGUUGGGGAUGGACUCGCGGCUCAUCAGCUUGUUGGUUGGGUAGUGGCUUACCAAGGCUUUGACGGGUAGCCGGCCUGAGAGGGUGACCGGCCCCAUUGGGACUGAGAUACGGCCCAGACUCCUACGGGAGGCAACGGUGGGGAAUAUUGCACAAUGGGCGGAAGCCUAAUGCAGCAACGCCGCGCGCGGGAUGACGGGCUGCGGUUUGUGAACCGCUUUCGCCUGUGACGAGGCGUGAGUGACGGUAAUGGGUAAAGAAGCACCGGCUAACUACGUG
This 468-nucleotide ribosomal RNA is filed under the name uncultured bacterium. RNAcentral's name for it is "partial 16S ribosomal RNA". It matches the Rfam family "Bacterial small subunit ribosomal RNA", at positions 28 to 507 of the family's 1533-position model. The record is from RNAcentral.